AAAUAAAUAUAUAAUAUAUAAAAUAUGCGCAGUGUAAAUGGUUGAGUUGUGAAAUAAUGAAAUUAAAUAAACAUUUAGCUAAAUAGGCGGUUCCAGGAGACCUAUUAUUGUAUGAGUGUUUAAAUGUAUUUUGGACAAUUUCCUGUCAAGAGUUUUAUGUUUUGGUGUUUAAUUUUUGCUCUGUGUCACUUCUUAAAUGUCCGGCAUUAGAACAAGAGGGUUCGAUUUCAGCAGCAACAUCGUCAUGUUUUCCACAGACGAGCAGAUGGGCUGUCAGUGUUUCAUGAACUCGUUCGACCUGAGGGAUCCACAGAUCGGUAAACAAUAAAAACCUCAUACAGUGCCACCAAAUACUUCAGAGGAGUCAUCACCGUCAAAUGGCAUCUUAUUGCCCUCUAGUGGGCCGAUUUGGGAAAACAUCAAAUUUACACGAAAAUGUGAGCAAAUUGAAAAAAAAGACAAUAAAACAGAAUUUAAAAAAA
Molecule: long non-coding RNA, 482 nt
Organism: Cynoglossus semilaevis (tongue sole)
Lineage: Eukaryota; Metazoa; Chordata; Actinopteri; Pleuronectiformes; Cynoglossidae
Exons: 2
Source: RefSeq, a predicted model, not a curated record